AUUUUUACAACUUUUAUCUCUGUCUUCCUGCCCAAAGACAAAUGUCGUUGACCGAAUCCAUAAAGUCUACCCAAACACUCUUAAGGCCACAAUGGACCUACAUUCCUGGCCUUCACUCGAUUUCCGGAUCUCUUCUUGCCCGGGGCUAAGAUACUGAAAUAAGGACUUAUUAAAAUUAACAUACUUGCAAUUCCGGUUCUUGGAAAGAUGGGCUUGUUUCUGAGAUCUUUACCCAAGGAAAACUCCGUCUGUUUUUGCUGAAAUCUUUAGCACUUCGUGUUUGAUGAAGACAUCUGCUUCUGGUUUCAAAUAAUCUCAUUUGGGACACCUAGGGCCAAUGCUACGCCUCAGUCCCCUUCGGUCAACAACACCCACUCGACAACUCUCAAGCCAGUAGCUGUUUGUUUUCCUGCGGUGAAACACGCGGAUAACACAUCUUUUGAGUAAAACAAUGUCAUUGUGUAGCCACUGUCAUCCUUCGAUGGAUGAGGUCAAGACACUCCUCAAAAUCGCUCUCAGGGAUAAAUUUUGUUGGUGGUUGGGAAAGCGGAGUGGGGGAAUGUUUCGCGAUUGGGAAAACAGCUCAUUUUCCCGGUUGGGCGGGGGGGUGGCUUGGACGUGCUCCUAGUGCGACGACGCAGACAAGGCGCCCAUCCGAGCCGUCCGGUCCCUUUGUCCUACACCCCACCCUGGAGGUAUGAGGAUCCGCGCAAUGCGGUUCGGAGGCGGCCGCGGCGCCCCAGAGGUGAAAGCGGAGGCGCCAGGACGCCGGUGCCGGCCUCUCAGGAUGCUAGGCGGCCACACACGAGAUGAGGAAACUGAGGCCCAGAGAGAUCACACAGCUACUAAGUCAAGGAGCUGGGACAGGCGUGGGUGCUGAAAAGUGAUUGAUACUGAUAGUAAAAUUGAGGAAGACAUGAUGUUUUUGUAAUUUGAGAAAAAUCACUGAAGAAUAAACUAUAUGAAGUCAUUGAUGCCAAAUUCCCAGCCCCAGCCUUUGCAGCUGCCCCGCCUGGGGUUCGUCUCUAUGGGAAGGAGUCUUUGCCGUGGACAGAGGCCGUGAUGACGAAGGUCAGGCUUAGAGAUCCAGGAAGUUGAGACAUGGAAAGCAGGAGUGGAGCAAGGAGAUUCUGGAAGAGCUGCUAUUUUAUUGCCUUGACGUGUGGAUGAACUGCUUAACCUCUCUACAAUGGGUGGCAAAAAUCAUGACAUUUCACACACUCCGCCCCAGUGGAACCCAUCUUCCUCUGCUGUCUAACUGAAGAACUAGCAAUGCCUUCCAAAGCUAAAGGAAACUCCAGCUCCAUGCAACAGAUGGUGCCAAGUGAUAGAAAGAAAACAGUGGGAAGAAUACCUGGUAUAUAGCAGAAAACUGGAGCUUCAACAUGGUGGCAUACAGUGUUUAAACUGAUACCUUGCUCAACUCUGGAU
RNAcentral lists this long non-coding RNA (1431 nucleotides) under Heterocephalus glaber (naked mole-rat). RNAcentral describes it as "lncRNA (ENSHGLG00000036937.1)". The record is from RNAcentral. Lineage: Eukaryota; Metazoa; Chordata; Mammalia; Rodentia; Bathyergidae.